CGGGGAUGGACAGAGAAGAAACACCCCAACUUCUCUCCCACUGCGGGCUCCUGGGUAGUUCUCACUGACUGAUCACAACAGAGCAUGGAGCACGAGGCAGCCCAGGUGAUGUGAUUGUUUGGGACCACAGCCCUCCCAGGUGCAGAGCAAGGCAGGGAAGGGAUUUGAGGGCAGAGCAAAUGGAGAUGAACUAACACACACAGCUUGCAAACAGCUUUGCCCCCAAAUCCAUCAGAACACGCUGGUGUCGCUGGUGUGAGAUAGACACUGCUCUUCUCUCCGUGCGGGAUCAAUCAUGGAGAAUGGAAUGGGAAGAAAGAGGACAGUCUAUGCUAAAGUGGUCUGGGGCCACAGUAUAAUGCACACAUCUUCUCCCACUUCUAAUCGGGUGGCAAAUUACUUAUCCCACUUAAUAAGAGAAAGGAAAGGACCGCUGACACCGUGCUGUCCCUGAAG
This 456-nucleotide long non-coding RNA is filed under the name Capra hircus (goat). RNAcentral describes it as "lncRNA (ENSCHIG00000007643.1)". Lineage: Eukaryota; Metazoa; Chordata; Mammalia; Artiodactyla; Bovidae. The record is from RNAcentral.